GGGGGCAUAGCUCAGUGGAAGAGCAUUUGACUGCAGCUCAAAUAGUCUCUGGUUCAAUUCCAGAGGCCCCCU
Molecule: non-coding RNA, 72 nt
Organism: Archocentrus centrarchus (flier cichlid)
Lineage: Eukaryota; Metazoa; Chordata; Actinopteri; Cichliformes; Cichlidae
Source: the annotation of a RefSeq genome assembly